This 426-nucleotide ribosomal RNA is filed under the name uncultured bacterium. RNAcentral describes it as "bacterial SSU rRNA". It matches the Rfam family "Bacterial small subunit ribosomal RNA", at positions 354 to 777 of the family's 1533-position model. The record is from RNAcentral.
GUGAGGAAUAUUGGUCAAUGGACGAGAGUCUGAACCAGCCAAGUAGCGUGAAGGAUGAAGGUCCUACGGAUUGUAAACUUCUUUUAUAAGGGAAUAAAACCUCCCACGUGUGGGAGCUUGUAUGUACCUUAUGAAUAAGCAUCGGCUAACUCCGUGCCAGCAGCCGCGGUAAUACGGAGGAUGCGAGCGUUAUCCGGAUUUAUUGGGUUUAAAGGGAGCGCAGACGGGUCGUUAAGUCAGCUGUGAAAGUUUGGGGCUCAACCUUAAAAUUGCAGUUGAUACUGGCGUCCUUGAGUGCGGUUGAGGUGUGCGGAAUUCGUGGUGUAGCGGUGAAAUGCUUAGAUAUCACGAAGAACUCCGAUUGCGAAGGCAGCACACUAAGCCGUAACUGACGUUCAUGCUCGAAAGUGUGGGUAUCAAACAGGA